RNAcentral lists this ribosomal RNA (376 nucleotides) under uncultured bacterium. RNAcentral describes it as "bacterial SSU rRNA". It matches the Rfam family "Bacterial small subunit ribosomal RNA", at positions 524 to 898 of the family's 1533-position model. The record is from RNAcentral.
GACGAACCGUACGAACGUUAUUCGGAAUUACUGGGCUUAAAGGGUGCGUAGGCUGUGCAGAAAGUUGGGUGUGAAAUCCCCCGGCUCAACCGGGGAAUAGCGCUCAAAACUACUGUGCUAGAGGGAGACAGAGGUAAGCGGAACUCAGGGUGGAGCGGUGAAAUGCGUUGAUAUCCUGAGGAACACCGGUGGCGAAAGCGGCUUACUGGGUCUCUUCUGACGCUGAGGCACGAAAGCUAGGGUAGCGAACGGGAUUAGAUACCCCGGUAGUCCUAGCCGUAAACGAUGAGCACUGGGUUGGAGGGUCCCUCAUAGCCUUCCAGCCGCAGCGAAAGUGUUAAGUGCUCCGCCUGGGGAGUAUGGUCGCAAGGCUGAA